CCUACGGGAGGCAGCAGUAGGGAAUCUUCCACAAUGGGCGAAAGCCUGAUGGAGCAACGCCGCGUGGGUGAAGAAGGUCUUCGGAUCGUAAAACCCUGUUGUUAGAGAAGAAAGUGCGUGAGAGUAACUGUUCACGUUUCGACGGUAUCUAACCAGAAAGCCACGGCUAACUACGUGCCAGCAGCCGCGGUAAUACGUAGGUGGCAAGCGUUAUCCGGAUUUAUUGGGCGUAAAGGGAACGCAGGCGGUCUUUUAAGUCUGAUGUGAAAGCCUUCGGCUUAACCGGAGUAGUGCAUUGGAAACUGGGGGACUAGAGUGCAGAAGAGGAGAGUGGAACUCCAUGGGUAGCGGUGAAAUGCGUAGAUAUAUGGAAGAACACCAGUGGCGAAAGCGGCUCUCUGGUCUGUAACUGACGCUGAGGUUCGAAAGCGUGGGUAGCAAACAGGAUUAGAUACCUGAGUAGUC
Molecule: ribosomal RNA, 465 nt
Filed under: uncultured bacterium
Lineage: Bacteria
Description: partial 16S ribosomal RNA
Rfam family: Bacterial small subunit ribosomal RNA
Source: RNAcentral